RNAcentral lists this ribosomal RNA (253 nucleotides) under uncultured bacterium. RNAcentral describes it as "partial 16S ribosomal RNA". It matches the Rfam family "Bacterial small subunit ribosomal RNA", at positions 524 to 776 of the family's 1533-position model. The record is from RNAcentral.
UACGUAGGCGGCAAGCGUUGUCCGGAUUUAUUGGGUUUAAAGGGUGCGUAGGCGGCCCUGUAAGUCAGUGCUGAAAUAUCCCAGCUUAACUGGGAGGGUGGCAUUGAUACUGCGGGGCUAGAGUACAGAUGAGGUAGGCGGAAUUGACGGUGUAGCGGUGAAAUGCGUAGAUAUCAGGAGGAACACCGAUGGCGAAGGCAGGUCUCUGGGCAUUAACUGACGCUGAGGAGCGAAAGCAUGGGGAGCGAACAGG